Small nucleolar RNA from Erinaceus europaeus (western European hedgehog), 131 nucleotides. Lineage: Eukaryota; Metazoa; Chordata; Mammalia; Eulipotyphla; Erinaceidae. The record is from Ensembl.
UGGGAGGCUGAUACACAAGUAGGGAUGAAGUACUGCUCUACUUGUUACUACACCUCCCUAGAGCAGACUGCCUUCCGAUGACCUGGACGAAUUGAGAGAGGUCGUAACGGUUAGAAACAGGGCGAACAGUU